AGACCCGAAACCCGGUGAUCUAGCCAUGGGCAGGUUGAAGGUUGGGUAACACUAACUGGAGGACCGAACCGACUAAUGUUGAAAAAUUAGCGGAUGACCUGUGGCUGGGGGUGAAAGGCCAAUCAAACCGGGAGAUAGCUGGUUCUCCCCGAAAGCUAUUUAGGUAGCGCCUCGUGAAUUCAUCUCCGGGGGUAGAGCACUGUUUCGGCUAGGGGGCCAUCCCGGCUUACCAACCCGAUGCAAACUGCGAAUACCGGAGAAUGUUAUCACGGGAGACACACGGCGGGUGCUAACGUCCGUCGUGAAGAGGGAAACAACCCAGACCGCCAGCUAAGGUCCCAAAGUCAUGGUUAAGUGGGAAACGAUGUGGGAAGGCCCAGACAGCCAGGAUGUUGGCUUAGAAGCAGCCAUCAUUUAAAGAAAGCGUAAUAGCUCACUGGUCGAGUCGGCCUGCGCGGAAGAUGUAACGGGGCUAAACCAUGCACCGAAGCUGCGGCAGCGACACUCAGGUGUUGUUGGGUAGGGGAGCGUUCUGUAAGCCUGUGAAGGUGGCCUGUGAGGGUUGCUGGAGGUAUCAGAAGUGCGAAUGCUGACAUAAGUAACGAUAAAGCGGGUGAAAAGCCCGCUCGCCGGAAGACCAAGGGUUCCUGUCCAACGUUAAUCGGGGCAGGGUGAGUCGACCCCUAAGGCGAGGCCGAAAGGCGUAGUCGAUGGGAAACGGGUUAAUAUUCCCGUACUUGGUGUUACUGCGAAGGGGGGACGGAGAAGGCUAUGUUGGCCGGGCGACGGUUGUCCCGGUUUAAGCGUGUAGGCUGGUUUUCCAGGCAAAUCCGGAAAAUCAAGGCUGAGGCGUGACGACGAGGCACUACGGUGCUGAAGCAACAAAUGCCCUGCUUCCAGGAAAAGCCUCUAAGCAUCAGGUAACACGAAAUCGUACCCCAAACCGACACAGGUGGUCAGGUAGAGAAUACCAAGGCGCUUGAGAGAACUCGGGUGAAGGAACUAGGCAAAAUGGUGCCGUAACUUCGGGAGAAGG
RNAcentral lists this ribosomal RNA (1036 nucleotides) under Salmonella enterica. RNAcentral's name for it is "partial 23S ribosomal RNA". It matches the Rfam family "Bacterial large subunit ribosomal RNA", at positions 711 to 1746 of the family's 2925-position model. The record is from RNAcentral. Lineage: Bacteria; Pseudomonadati; Pseudomonadota; Gammaproteobacteria; Enterobacterales; Enterobacteriaceae.